UAAGAUGGCUGAGUGGUAAGCGGUGGAUUGUAGACCCACGAACGGGGGUUCUACUCCUGGUGUUGC
Molecule: transfer RNA, 66 nt
Filed under: Brachyrhaphis terrabensis
Lineage: Eukaryota; Metazoa; Chordata; Actinopteri; Cyprinodontiformes; Poeciliidae
Description: tRNA-Tyr
Source: RNAcentral